UACAGAGGGGGCAAGCGUUGUUCGGAAUUACUGGGCGUAAAGGGCGCGUAGGCGGCCUUCUAAGUCGAACGUGAAAUCCCCGGGCUCAACCCGGGAACUGCGUCCGAUACUGGAAGGCUUGAAUCCGGGAGAGGGAUGCGGAAUUCCAGGUGUAGCGGUGAAAUGCGUAGAUAUCUGGAGGAACACCGGUGGCGAAGGCGGCAUCCUGGACCGAUAUUGACGCUGAUGCGCGAAAGCCAGGGGAGCAAACGGG
This 253-nucleotide ribosomal RNA is filed under the name uncultured bacterium. RNAcentral describes it as "partial 16S ribosomal RNA". It matches the Rfam family "Bacterial small subunit ribosomal RNA", at positions 524 to 776 of the family's 1533-position model. The record is from RNAcentral.